GAAACGACUGCUAAGACUGGAUAGGAAGAUAAAAGGCAUCUUGUAUCUUUUAAAAGACCUAGUUAAUAGGUAUGCUUUAGGAGGGGCUUGCGCCAUAUUAGUUAGUUGGUAGGGUAAUGGCCUACCAAGACGAUGAUGUGUAGCUGGACUGAGAGGUUGAACAGCCACAUUGGGACUGAGACACGGCCCAAACUCCUACGGGAGGCAGCAGUAGGGAAUUUUCGGCAGUGGAGGAAACUCUGACCGAGCAACGCCGCGUGAAUGACGAAGUACUUCGGUAUGUAAAGUUCUUUUAUCGAGGAAGAAAAGCAAAUGGCGAACCAUUUGUUUGCCGGUACUUGAUGAAUAAGCCCCGGCUAAUUAUGUGCCAGCAGCCGCGGUAAGACAUAAGGGGCAAGUGUUAUCCGGAAUUAUUGGGCGUAAAGGGUGCGUAGGCGGUCUAGUAAGUCAGUGGUGUAAUGUCAACGCUUAACGUUGUCCGGCUAUUGAAACUGCUAAACUUGAGUUAGAUAGAGGCGAGUGGAAUUCCAUGUGUAGCGGUAAAAUGCGUAAAUAUAUGGAGGAACACCAGAGGCGUAGGCGGCUCGCUGGGUCUUAACUGACGCUGAGGCACGAAAGCGUGGGGAGCAAACAGGAUUAGAUACCCUGGUAGUCCACGCCGUAAACGAUGAGUACUAAGUGUCGGGUUAAACCGGUACUGAAGUUAACACAUUAAGUACUCCGCCUGAGUAGUACGUACGCAAGUAUGAAACUUAAAGGAAUUGACGGGACUCCGCACAAGCGGUGGAUCAUGUUGUUUAAUUCGAAGAUACCCGAAAAACCUUACCAGGUCUUGACAUGUUUUUGCAAAAUGAUAGUAAUAUCGUGGAGGUUACCAGAAACACAGGUGGUGCGUGGUUGUCGUCAGCUCGUGGCGUGAGAUGUUAGGUUAAGUCCUAAAACGAGCGAAACCCUUAUCGUUAGUUGCCAGCACGUUAUGGUGGGGACUUUAACGAGACUGCCAAUGAUAAAUUGGAGGAAGGUGAGGAUCACGUCAAAUCAGCAUGCCCCUUAUGACCUGGGCUACAAACGUGAUACAAUGGCUGCUACAAAGGGUAGCUGAAACGCAAGUUCUUGGCCAAUCCCCAAAAACAGUCCCAGUCCGGAUUGAAGUCUGCAACUCGACUUCAUGAAGUUGGAAUCGCUAGUAAUCGCGAAUCAGCAUGUCGCGGUGAAUACGUUCACGGGGUUUGUACACACCGCCCGUCA
RNAcentral lists this ribosomal RNA (1248 nucleotides) under 'Raphanus sativus' phyllody phytoplasma. RNAcentral's name for it is "bacterial SSU rRNA". It matches the Rfam family "Bacterial small subunit ribosomal RNA", at positions 153 to 1399 of the family's 1533-position model. The record is from RNAcentral. Lineage: Bacteria; Bacillati; Mycoplasmatota; Mollicutes; Acholeplasmatales; Acholeplasmataceae.